Molecule: ribosomal RNA, 434 nt
Filed under: uncultured Lachnospiraceae bacterium
Lineage: Bacteria; Bacillati; Bacillota; Clostridia; Lachnospirales; Lachnospiraceae
Description: partial 16S ribosomal RNA
Rfam family: Bacterial small subunit ribosomal RNA
Source: RNAcentral
ACGGGAGGCAGCAGUGGGGAAUAUUGCACAAUGGGGGAAACCCUGAUGCAGCGACGCCGCGUGAGUGAUGAAGUAUUUCGGUAUGUAAAGCUCUAUCAGCAGGGAAGAUAAUGACGGUACCUGACUAAGAGGCACCGGCUAAAUACGUGCCAGCAGCCGCGGUAAUACGUAUGGUGCAAGCGUUAUCCGGAUUUACUGGGUGUAAAGGGAGCGUAGACGGCUUGGUAAGUCUGAUGUGAAAGCUAUGGGCUCAACCCAUAAACUGCAUUGGAAACUAUUAAGCUAGAGUGUCGGAGAGGUAAGUGGAAUUCCUAGUGUAGCGGUGAAAUGCGUAGAUAUUAGGAGGAACACCAGUGGCGAAGGCGGCUUACUGGACGAUAACUGACGUUGAGGCUCGAAAGCGUGGGGAGCAAACAGGAUUAGAUACCCUGGUA